GCCAAGAUGGCUUAGUGGUUAAAGCACCUCCCUAAUAAGCAGGAGACCUAGGUUCGAUUCCUGCCCUUGGUA
This is a non-coding RNA of Schistocerca nitens (vagrant locust), 72 nucleotides long. The record is from the annotation of a RefSeq genome assembly. NCBI's taxonomy places the organism in Eukaryota, Metazoa, Arthropoda, Insecta, Orthoptera, Acrididae.